Sapajus apella (tufted capuchin) is the source of this 107-nucleotide small nuclear RNA. The record is from RefSeq and is a predicted model, not a curated record. Lineage: Eukaryota; Metazoa; Chordata; Mammalia; Primates; Cebidae.
GUGCUCACUUCACCAGCACAUACACUAAAAUUGGAGCCAUAUGGAGAAGUUUAUUAUGGUCCCUGUGCAAAGAUGACACACAAUUAAGUGAAUUAAUGCAGAAACAG